GAUGAAGAACGCAGCGAAAUGCGAUAAGUAAUGUGAAUUGCAGAAUUCAGUGAAUCAUCGAAUCUUUGAACGCACCUUGCGCUCCUUGGUAUUCCGAGGAGCAUGCCUGUUUGAGUGUCAUUAUAUUCUCAAUCUCUACAACCUUUGUGAAGAUUGGACGGUGGGGGCCUUUGUGAGCAGUUCGCGCUCACUCCCCUGAAAUAUAUUAGCUGGAAUGCCUUUGCAACCAACUAUCAGUUUGAUAAUAUCACUACUGUAGUUGUUGCAUUGAGGGAAUCUGCUGCUUAACUGUCGUAAAGGACAAAAUGGAAUAACUUUGACCUCAAAUCAGGUAGGACUACCCGCUGAACUUAAGCAUAUCAAUAAGCGGAGGA
Molecule: unclassified non-coding RNA, 374 nt
Filed under: soil metagenome
Description: partial contains 5.8S ribosomal RNA, internal transcribed spacer 2, and large subunit ribosomal RNA
Rfam family: 5.8S ribosomal RNA (bases 1-120)
Source: RNAcentral